Molecule: ribosomal RNA, 245 nt
Filed under: uncultured bacterium
Lineage: Bacteria
Description: partial 16S ribosomal RNA
Rfam family: Bacterial small subunit ribosomal RNA
Source: RNAcentral
UACAGAGGUGGCAAACGUUGUCCGGAAUUACUGGGUGUAAAGGGUCCGCAGGCGGCCCUGUAAGUCAAAGGUGAAAUGUCUCGGCUCAACCGGGUCACUGCCUUUGAAACUGCAGGGCUUGAGUACGGUAGAGGAGAGUGGAAUUCCCAGUGUAGCGGUGAAAUGCGUAGAUAUUGGGAGGAACACCAGUGGCGAAGGCGGCUCUCUGGACCGAUACUGACGCUCAGGGACGAAAGCCAGGGGAG